RNAcentral lists this ribosomal RNA (427 nucleotides) under uncultured bacterium. RNAcentral's name for it is "partial 16S ribosomal RNA". It matches the Rfam family "Bacterial small subunit ribosomal RNA", at positions 355 to 774 of the family's 1533-position model. The record is from RNAcentral.
UGGGGAAUAUUGCACAAUGGGCGCAAGCCUGAUGCAGCCAUGCCGCGUGUAUGAAGAAGGCCUUCGGGUUGUAAAGUACUUUCAGCGGGGAGGAAGGUGUUGAGGUUAAUAACCUCAGCAAUUGACGUUACCCGCAGAAGAAGCACCGGCUAACUCCGUGCCAGCAGCCGCGGUAAUACGGAGGGUGCAAGCGUUAAUCGGAAUUACUGGGCGUAAAGCGCACGCGGGCGGUCUGUCAAGUCGGAUGUGAAAUCCCCGGGCUCAACCUGGGAACUGCAUUCGAAACUGGCAGGCUAGAGUCUUGUAGAGGGGGGUAGAAUUCCAGGUGUAGCGGUGAAAUGCGUAGAGAUCUGGAGGAAUACCGGUGGCGAAGGCGGCCCCCUGGACAAAGACUGACGCUCAGGUGCGAAAGCGUGGGGAGCAAACA